Molecule: ribosomal RNA, 512 nt
Filed under: uncultured fungus
Lineage: Eukaryota; Fungi
Description: SSU rRNA
Rfam family: Eukaryotic small subunit ribosomal RNA
Source: RNAcentral
UCAAAGAUUAAGCCAUGCAUGUCUAAGUAUAAACAAUCUAUACUGUGAAACUGCGAAUGGCUCAUUAAAUCAGUUAUCGUUUAUUUGAUAGUACCUUACUACUUGGAUAACCGUGGUAAUUCUAGAGCUAAUACAUGCCAAAAACCCCGACUUACGAAGGGGUGUAUUUAUUAGAUAAAAAACCAAUGCUCUUCGGGGCUCUAUGGUGAUUCAUAAUAACUUAACGAAUCGCAUGGCCUUGCGCCGGCGAUGGUUCAUUCAAAUUUCUGCCCUAUCAACUUUCAAUCUUACGGUAGUGGCGUAAGAUGGUGGCAACGGGUAACGGGGAAUUAGGGUUCUAUUCCGGAGAGGGAGCCUGAGAAACGGCUACCACAUCCAAGGAAGGCAGCAGGCGCGCAAAUUACCCAAUCNNAACACGGGGAGGUAGUGACAAUAAAUACUGAUACAGGGCUCUUUUGGGUCUUGUAAUUGGAAUGAGUACAAUCUAAAUCCCUUAACGAGGAACAAUUGGA